This 253-nucleotide ribosomal RNA is filed under the name uncultured bacterium. RNAcentral's name for it is "partial 16S ribosomal RNA". It matches the Rfam family "Bacterial small subunit ribosomal RNA", at positions 524 to 776 of the family's 1533-position model. The record is from RNAcentral.
UACGUAGGGGGCAAGCGUUGUCCGGAUUUAUUGGGCGUAAAGAGCGUGUAGGCGGCCAUGUAGGUCCGUUGUGAAAACUUGAGGCUCAACCUCGAGACGCCGAUGGAAACCAUAUGGCUAGAGUCCGGAAGAGGAGAGUGGAAUUCCUGGUGUAGCGGUGAAAUGCGCAGAUAUCAGGAAGAACACCCGUGGCUAAGGCGGCUCUCUAGUACGGUACUGACGCUGAGACGCGAAAGCGUGGGGAGCGAACAGG